Molecule: ribosomal RNA, 254 nt
Filed under: uncultured bacterium
Lineage: Bacteria
Description: partial 16S ribosomal RNA
Rfam family: Bacterial small subunit ribosomal RNA
Source: RNAcentral
UACGUAGGGGGCGAGCGUUGUCCGGAUUUAUUGGGCGUAAAGAGCUCGUAGGCGGUUUGGCAAGUCGGGUGUGAAAACUCCGGGCUCAACUCGGAGACGCCACUCGAUACUGCCAUGACUCGAGUCCGGUAGGGGAGUGCGGAAUUCCUGGUGUAGCGGUGAAAUGCGCAGAUAUCGGGAGGAACACCGGUGGCGAAGGCGGCACUCUGGGCCGGUACUGACGCUGAGGAGCGAAAGCGUGGGGAGCGAACAGG